This 220-nucleotide ribosomal RNA is filed under the name uncultured beta proteobacterium. Its description in RNAcentral is "partial 16S ribosomal RNA". It matches the Rfam family "Bacterial small subunit ribosomal RNA", at positions 158 to 380 of the family's 1533-position model. The record is from RNAcentral. Lineage: Bacteria; Pseudomonadati; Pseudomonadota; Betaproteobacteria.
UUUGGCUAAUACCGCAUACGACCUACGGGUGAAAGGGGGGGAUCGCAAGACCUCUCGCUAUUGGAGCGGCCGAUGUCCGAUUACCUAGUCGGUGGGGUAAAGGCCUACCAAGGCAACGAUCGGUAGCUGGUCUGAGAGGACGAUCAGCCACACUGGGACUGAGACACGGCCCACACUCCUACGGGAGGCAGCAGUGGGGAAUUUUGGACAAUGGGGGAAA